This 497-nucleotide ribosomal RNA is filed under the name uncultured bacterium. RNAcentral's name for it is "partial 16S ribosomal RNA". It matches the Rfam family "Bacterial small subunit ribosomal RNA", at positions 28 to 507 of the family's 1533-position model. The record is from RNAcentral.
GAUGAACGCUGGCGGCGUGCCUAAUACAUGCAAGUCGAGCGAACGGACGAGAAGCUUGCUUUUCUGAUGUUAGCGGCGGACGGGUGAGUAACACGUGGAUAACCUACCUAUAAGACUGGGAUAACUUCGGGAAACCGGAGCUAAUACCGGAUAAUAUUUUGAACCGCAUGGUUCAAAAGUGAAAGACGGUCUUGCUGUCACUUAUAGAUGGAUCCGCGCUGCAUUAGCUAGUUGGUAAGGUAACGGCUUACCAAGGCAACGAUGCAUAGCCGACCUGAGAGGGUGAUCGGCCACCUUGGAACUGAGCCACGGUCCAGACUCCUACGGGAGGCAGCAGUAGGGAAUCUUCCGCAAUGGGCGAAAGCCUGACGGAGCAACGCCGCGUGAGUGAUGAAGGUCUUCGGAUCGUAAAACUCUGUUAUUAGGGAAGAACAUAUGUGUAAGUAACUGUGCACAUCUUGACGGUACCUAAUCAGAAAGCCACGGCUAACUACGUG